UUAAUUUUAGUGAAAGUGUUGGGUACCACCUUAACAUGCAGUUAUACUGAGCAUGAUAGUAUUUUUCUACUUAGUGUAUUUAUGUGAAUGUGUGAUGUUUUUAUUUCAAUGUAUUUGCUUGUUUGUAUUAAUUUUAGUUAUUUUUAUAGUCCAUGAAAUCUUUUAAUUGAUAUUGAGUUUAUACUUAGUAUAGAGAUUCUUAUUUUAAGGGGGUCGUUUAAGGAGAUUUGCUUCUUAGUUUCAAAAUAACAAGAUUUUCAUAACACUCUUAUAUAUUGAUAGGGGAUUAUUAAAGGAACUAGAAGAGUAAAGCAAAAAUAUAGGUCUGUCAAUGUGCUUGUUUCUGUCAAUGUGCUUGUUUUGAGCCAUUGGAAUUUUAGCGGGAAAAUGUUCCUCUUGAUUUUUCAUAGCUUUGUCAUAGACAAGUUUGAGUUCUCAAAAACCAUUAAAAAAUAACAAAUAUUAUAUAAUACUUUUACAGAUGGGUCAUGAUUAUACAUGUUAAAGAUUUAUAAAUAGAAAAAUGUGGGUCAAUGGGCCAACCUUACUUUUAUGCAUUCAAAUGGAUAACCCAGAGGAAUCCCAAAAUAUGACAAAAAUUCCAAAACAUGGCAAGCGAACAUCCUUAAACAUCAUAUUUAUAUGCCUAAACUUUUGACUAACAUUUUUUUAGCGUCAGUUAUUGCUUGUAGCUACUUGUAAUACAAUAUUAGACAAUCUGUUCAUAUUUUCAUUUGUAUUACAAUUGAAGUGACAAAUAUUGCAACGACACAUACAAAUGACAUAUCUUAUUAAUUUGAUUAUUUUGUAACUAUUAUUUCAGUUUUUGGCACAACAUUAAAAAAAAAGAACUUAUAAGAAAAUAUAAGCUUUUUCAAGCUAUGGAAACAUUCUCAAAAAGAUAAAAUAAUAUGGGGAAGUUACUUAUAAAUAUGAGAUGUACAUUAUGCUUAAAAGAUGGGACUACAUAUUUUAAUGAAUGAUUAACACUGUAUGAAAGAUCCUGAUUUUUACACAAAGAACACAUAUAAAAUUAAUUCAAGGUAGAGGUUUGAUUUGAAGUCCAUGGGAGAAUUUUUCCUAAAUUUACCCCUAUAUUGCAUUUACCCUGUCCAUCUGUUCAUUGGAUAAAUAUUUUUCAUCACACUUUUCUCAGGUACUACUUCAUGGAGGGAUUAUCAUAUUUUGUCAGCAGAUUGAAUGUCAUGAGUUGUGAUGUGAAUGCUUUUCAGUUCUGUAAGACUAACCUCAUAUUUGCAAUUCUUUGAAUAACAAAGUUUUAGCAUAACACCAUAUGUUCAAAUUCUUGUAACUCUUUAGGUUUUUACUGUGCAUUUUUGCCAAUUUGUCGUUAUCAACUUUGUUAACCACUUUUAUGUACACAAGACUUAUUGAAAGCAAAUGAACAAAAUCAACAUUAAAGCAAUAUUAAAGAAUAGGAUAUGUAUCAUAAUUAUUAUUAUAGUUUUUGCAAAGUAAAAUAUGUCUAAUGCUUAAUUACUUCUAUAUACUGCAUGUAUUAGAUUAUACAAUUAUACUUUUUGGCAUUGGUCUUUGUAAGAUUCUGAAAGUGGUUCACAUGUAAUCCCCUACGGCAUUUUGUGUCGGAAAUUAUACCUGGCCAUAUUAGAAAAUUUCUCCAGAGAAACAAAAUUCCAAAAGGGAUUAGCUUAAACAUUUGAUACCCCAUUCCUUCCUUACAAAUGCAUUGAAAUUAGAUGGUAGCAAUUUACACCAAUUGCAUUAUUUCAUUUUUGGCUACUAAAAAUGUUAAUAGUAUAGAAACAGUACAAUUGA
Molecule: long non-coding RNA, 1797 nt
Filed under: Mytilus galloprovincialis (Mediterranean mussel)
Lineage: Eukaryota; Metazoa; Mollusca; Bivalvia; Mytilida; Mytilidae
Source: RNAcentral